RNAcentral lists this long non-coding RNA (854 nucleotides) under Nicotiana benthamiana. Its description in RNAcentral is "long non-coding RNA (NBEN_LNC042041)". Lineage: Eukaryota; Viridiplantae; Streptophyta; Magnoliopsida; Solanales; Solanaceae. The record is from RNAcentral.
AAGGGCCAUCGGACUGGGUAAAACCUAAAUUAACCGUUAUGCACUUGCGGGAAACUCCUUGCCAAGGGCCUAUGCACCCCCGGGAUUAGUUGGGGUUCGAAGAGACUCGGACAGGCGGUGCAAAUAGAAAAUAACAGUUGCCAUUAACGAUGGUUUGGAUUAAGGCCUAGUUUUUGUUUAUUACAAUCCGGUGUUUGUGAGAAAUCUUUUCUUCUUGGUUAGAGACUUGUAUGUCUGUUUAGGAUUAGCUGUGAGAUUUAGAAAAUCUCUAGUUUUUGUGAACCCCUAAUUAGCAUUAAAAGAUAAAUACUUAGUAUUUGAAUGAAAUGGACCUAAAUGUGAAAUAGUUGCAGAGGAUUCAUGUAGCCAAUCCUACUAACCCGUCAUUGAUGCGUAUUUGUUUAGUUUUUAUAGUUAUAAGUUACAACUUGCAGUACUGCAGGUACCAUGCUUUUAUGCGAGGCUGAAGAUACAUUGAUCCUAUAGUAGUUAGAGUAUGAUUGGCCAAGCUUCUAAAAACUGCAGAAUUCAUUUUAGAAGUAUUUUUGUCAAAAUUGCUUUUCUAAGUAGUACUUUUGGAGAGAAGUAGUUUUUGUUUGGCCAAUUCAUUUGAGAAGUAUUUUUUUUAAUUUUUUGAUAAAUAGAUUGUGUUUGGCCAAUCUUUCCAAAAACCGGUUUUGGGUGUCAAAUUACGAGAAAAGACAGUAUUAAGCUUCAUUUUACAAUUAGUAUAAUUUAAAUAGAGAAAUGAUUUUAAUAUUUUUCAUGAAAUACUUAAUUAAUUUUUUGUUUUAUUUUAGUAUAAUUUUGAAAAUAAUAUAUAUAUAUAUAUAUAUAUAUAUAUAUAUAUAUAU